This 371-nucleotide ribosomal RNA is filed under the name uncultured bacterium. Its description in RNAcentral is "bacterial SSU rRNA". It matches the Rfam family "Bacterial small subunit ribosomal RNA", at positions 527 to 896 of the family's 1533-position model. The record is from RNAcentral.
GGGGGGGGCAAGCGUUGUUCGGAAUUACUGGGCGUAAAGGGUGCGUAGGCGGUCCGCUAAGUUAGAUGUGAAAACUCUGGGCUCAACCCAGAGCCUGCAUCUAAUACUGACGGGCUAGAGUUCUGGAGGGGGUAGCGGAAUUCCUGGUGUAGCGGUGAGAUGCGUAGAUAUCAGGAGGAACACCGGUGGCGAAGGCGGCUACCUGGACAGAGUCUGACGCUGAGGCACGGAAGCUAGGGGAGCAAACAGGAUUAGAUACCCUGGUAGUCCUAGCCCUAAACGAUGGAUACUUGGUGUGACUGGGAUUGAAUCCAGUCGUGCCGAAGCUAACGCAUUAAGUAUCCCGCCUGGGGAGUACGGUCGCAAGGCUG